Molecule: ribosomal RNA, 366 nt
Filed under: Triticum aestivum (bread wheat)
Lineage: Eukaryota; Viridiplantae; Streptophyta; Magnoliopsida; Poales; Poaceae
Description: partial small subunit ribosomal RNA
Source: RNAcentral
AUGAUGAUUCAUUUUGAGUACGUAGAAAGUUGGAAGCUCAUAUUAUUUGGCACUAGGUUAUCCGGUGCAUUAAGAACUUAUCAUUAUGUGCAGAUGCUUGGCAUUCGAAGUGUGAAGAAUAUGGUUUCGCUGAAGGUGUUAGUACAAAGGCUCCUGCAACAAGUGAUGCAAAUGCAAGCACCAAUGAAGAUGACACGAAAACAGUAUCUUCGGUAUAACCCACCUUUUACAUGUAUUCGGUAUUUUUUUAGGAUUAUCCAAUAUUUUUUUAGGAUUAUCCGACAUUGUCAAAUAGGAUUAUUCGAUAAGUCUAGCCCAAAUACACAAAUAGUCCACUUUUUAGAAUCACAUAUAAAUAUAAUAUAA